CAACCUCAACUCAUAUGGGACUACCCCCUGAAUUUAAGCAUAUUAAUUAGGGGAGGAAAAGAAACUAACAAGGAUUUUCUUAGUAGCGGCGAGCGAAAAGAAAACAGUUCAGCACUAAGUCACUUUGUCUAUAUGGCAAAUGUGAGAUGCAGUGUAUGGAGCGUCAAUAUUCUAGUAUGAGAAAUUAAUGAUUUAAAGUCCUUCUUAAAUGAGGCCAUUUACCCAUAGAGGGUGCCAGGCCCGUAUAACGUUAAUGAUUACUAGAUGAUGUUUCCAAAGAGUCGUGUUGCUUGAUAGUGCAGCACUAAGUGGGUGGUAAACUCCAUCUAAAACUAAAUAUAACCAUGAGACCGAUAGUAAACAAGUACCGUGAGGGAAAGUUGAAAAGAACUCUGAAUAGAGAGUUAAACAGUACGUGAAACUGCUUAGAGGUUAAGCCCGAUGAACCUGAAUAUCCGUUAUGGAAAAUUCAUCAUUAAAAUUGUAAUAUUUAAAUAAUAUUAUUAAGAAUAAUGUGCAUUUUUUCCAUAUAAGGACAUUGUAAUCUAUUAGCAUAUCCCAAAUUUAUCAUAAAAUAUAACUUAUAGUUUAUUCCAAUUAAAUUGCUUGCAUUUUAACACAGAAUAAAUGUUAUUAAUUUGAUAAAGUGCUGAUAGAUUUAUAUUAUUACAGAGCGUUAAUUUCGGAAUUAUAUAAUAAUUAUCAUUGAUUUUUGUGUUUAUUAUAUGCUCUUGUAUGAUUAACAAUGCGAAAGAUUCAGGAUACCUUCGGGACCCGUCUUGAAACACGGACCAAGGAGUCUAACAUAUGUGCAAGUUAUUGGGAUGUAAACCUAAUAGCGUAAUUAACUUGACUAAUAAUGGGAUUAGUUUUUUAGCUAUUUAUAGCUAAUUAACACAAUCCCGGGGCGUUCUAUAUAGUUAUGUAUAAUGUAUAUUUUAUAUUAUUUAUGCCUCUAACUGGAACGUACCUUGAGCAUAUAUGCUGUGACCCGAAAGAUGGUGAACUAUACUUGAUCAGGUUGAAGUCAGGGGAAACCCUGAUGGAAGACCGAAACAGUUCUGACGUGCAAAUCGAUUGUCAGAAUUGAGUAUAGGGGCGAAAGACCAAUCGAACCAUCUAGUAGCUGUUCCUUCCGAAGUUUCCCUCAGGAUAGCUGGUGCAUUUUAAUAUUAUAUAAAAUAAUCUUAUCUGGUAAAGCGAAUGAUUAGAGGCCUUAGGUCGAAACGAUCUUAACCUAUUCUCAAACUUUAAAUGGGUAAGAACCUUAACUUUCUUGAUAUGAAGUUCAAGGUUAUGAUAUAAUGUGCCCAGUGGGCCACUUUUGGUAAGCAGAACUGGCGCUGUGGGAUGAACCAAACGUAAUGUUACGGUGCCCAAAUUAACAACUCAUGCAGAUACCAUGAAAGGCGUUGGUUGCUUAAAACAGCAGGACGGUGAUCAUGGAAGUCGAAAUCCGCUAAGGAGUGUGUAACAACUCACCUGCCGAAGCAACUAGCCCUUAAAAUGGAUGGCGCUUAAGUUGUAUACCUAUACAUUACCGCUAAAGUAGAUGAUUUUAUAUUACUUGUGAUAUAAAUUUUGAAACUUUAGUGAGUAGGAAGGUACAAUGGUAUGCGUAGAAGUGUUUGGUAAGCCUGCAUGGAGCUGCCAUUGGUACAGAUCUUGGUGGUAGUAGCAAAUAAUCGAAUGAGACCUUGGAGGACUGAAGUGGAGAAGGGUUUCGUGUGAACAGUGGUUGAUCACGAGUUAGUCGGUCCUAAGUUCAAGGCGAAAGCCGAAAAUUUUCAAGUAAAACAAAAAUGCCUAACUAUAUAAACAAAGCGAAUAUAAUACACUUGAAUAAUUUUGAACGAAAGGGAAUACGGUUCCAAUUCCGUAACCUGUUGAGUAUCCGUUUGUUAUUAAAUAUGGGCCUCGUGCUCAUCCUAACGACCAUAAAGAAGCCGUCGAGAGAUAUCGGAAGAGUUUUCUUUUCUGUUUUAUAGCCGUACUACCAUGGAAGUCUUUAUAGUAGAUGGGCUAGAAGAGCAUGACAUAUACUGUUGUGUCGAUAUUUUCUCCUCGGACCUUGAAAAUUUAUGGUGGGGACACGCAAACUUCUCAACAACCAAUAUCCGCAGCUGGUCUCCAAGGUGAAGAGUCUCUAGUCGAUAGAAUAAUGUAGGUAAGGGAAGUCGGCAAAUUAGAUCCGUAACUUCGGGAUAAGGAUUGGCUCUGAAGAUUGAGAUAGUCGGGCUUGAUUGGGAAAAAUAACAUGGUUUAUGUGCUCGUUCUGGGUAAAUAGAGUUUCUAGCAUUUAUGUUAGUUACUUGUUCCCCGGAUAGUUUAGUUACGUAGCCAAUUGUGGAACUUUCUUGCUAAAAUUUUUAAGAAUACUAUUUGGGUUAAACCAAUUAGUUCUUAUCAAUUAUAACGAUUAUCAAUUAAUCAAUUCAGAACUGGCACGGACUUGGGGAAUCCGACUGUCUAAUUAAAACAAAGCAUUGUGAUGGCCCUAGCGGGUGUUGACACAAUGUGACAAAGUGAAGAAAUUCAAGUAAGCGCGGGUCAACGGCGGGAGUAACUAUGACUCUCUUAAGGUAGCCAAAUCUAAUUAGUGACGCGCAUGAAUGGAUUAACGAGAUUCCUACUGUCCCUAUCUACUAUCUAGCGAAACCACAGCCAAGGGAACGGGCUUGGAAUAAUUAGCGGGGAAGAAGACCCUUUUGAGCUUGACUCUAAUCUGGCAGUGUAAGGAGACAUAAGAGGUGUAGAAUAAGUGGGAGAUUAGACCUCGGUUUGGUAUCGUCAAUGAAAUACCACUACUCUUAUUGUUUCCUUACUUACUUUUAAAUCAUUUCCUAGCCAUUAUACGGAUUAUAUUUAUUUUUGAUGCAAGCUUCUUGAUCAAAGUAUCACGAGUUUGUUAUAUAAUCGCAAACAAAUUCUUUAAUAAAACGAUGAUGUAUUUUUGGAAAAUUUGGUAUAACUCCAAUUACUCAGGUAUGAUCCAAUUCAAGGACAUUGCCAGGUAGGGAGUUUGACUGGGGCGGUACAUCUCUCAAAUAAUAACGGAGGUGUCCCAAGGCCAGCUCAGUGCGGACAGAAACCACACAUAGAGCAAAUGCUGACUUGAUCUCGGUGUUCAGUACACACAGGGACAGCAAAAGCUCGGCCUAUCGAUCCUUUUUUUAAAGAGUUUUUAACAAGAGGUGUCAGAAAAGUUACCGGGAUAACUGGCUUGUGGCGCCUUUUACGUCCUUUUUGAUGUCGGCUCUUCCUAUCAUUGUGAAGCAAAAUUCACCAAGCGUUGGAUUGUUCACCCAUGCAAGGGAACGUGAGCUGGGUUUAGACCGUCGUGAGACAGGUUAGUUUUCUACUAAUGACAAAACGUUGUUGCGACAGCAUUCCUGCGUAGUACGAGAGGAACCGCAGGUACGGAAAUGGCACAAUACUUGUUCGAGCGAACAGUGGUAUGACGCUACGUCCGUUGGAUUAUGCCUGAACGCCUCUAAGGUCGUAUCCGUGCUGGACUGCAAUGAUAAAUAAGGGGCAAUUUGCAUUGUAUGGCUUCUAAACCAUUUAAAGUUUAUAAUUUAUUUUAUAAACGACAAUGGAUGUGAUGUGUAAUUUGUAACAUAGUAAAUUAGGAGGAUCUUCGAUCACCUGAUGCCGCGCUAGUUACAUAUAAAAGCAUUAUUUAAUACAAUGACAAAGCCUAGAAUCAAUUGUAAACGACUUUUGUAACAGGCAAGGUGUUGUAAGUGGUUGAGCAGCUGCCAUACUGCGAUCCACUGAAGCUUAUCCUUUGCUUGAUGAUUCGA
Molecule: ribosomal RNA, 3806 nt
Organism: Drosophila mauritiana
Lineage: Eukaryota; Metazoa; Arthropoda; Insecta; Diptera; Drosophilidae
Source: RefSeq, a predicted model, not a curated record